CACACCGCCCGUCACAUCACGAAAGUGGAUUGUACUAGAAGUCUGCGCGCUAACCCGCAAGGGAGGGAGCCGUCGAAGGCGGGGCUGGCGAUUGGGGUG
Molecule: ribosomal RNA, 99 nt
Filed under: uncultured bacterium
Lineage: Bacteria
Description: partial 16S ribosomal RNA
Source: RNAcentral